AUGGUUCUCUCCCGUCAACUUCCACAGCGGCGCCCUUCGGCCGUGCAAAGCUUCGCCUCAGCCUCUUCUCCGAUAUCGCUUCAUCUCUGUUCAACUUCUAAUCAGCGCUCAAACUUUGUUCAGUUAUGUCUCGGUUCCCCUCGUCACUUUCGUCUUCUCAAUCGCGGUUCCGAUCUCAUUACCGAUUCACAGCUUCCGCUUUCGUGCGAUUUCGAGGUUUGA
Vicia faba (fava bean) is the source of this 222-nucleotide non-coding RNA. The record is from the annotation of a GenBank genome assembly. NCBI's taxonomy places the organism in Eukaryota, Viridiplantae, Streptophyta, Magnoliopsida, Fabales, Fabaceae.